This is a long non-coding RNA of Budorcas taxicolor (takin), 285 nucleotides long. RefSeq lists it as uncharacterized. The transcript is spliced from 3 exons. NCBI's taxonomy places the organism in Eukaryota, Metazoa, Chordata, Mammalia, Artiodactyla, Bovidae. The record is from RefSeq and is a predicted model, not a curated record.
AGGAGCGGCCAGGCACCACGCGUGCGGGUGGGCACCCGGGGCGCACGGGAGCCGCUAGGGCGCAGGGUUCGUGCGCCCAGGUGGACACGUGCUCACUGGGGACCUGCAGAAGCCAGCCCAAGGCCCUCAGUUUACUAAAACAGGAGACAGUACUAAAGUGCAUCCUUUGUGCCAGGCCCUGGGCUGGAUAUGAGAGAUGGAGAAGCUCCGGUCUAAAAGGAAAGAAAAGGCAUCGGUGGAGCUGUUUGGGUCAUAAAUCCAAGCCAACACCAGAUUUGACAUCCC